Molecule: long non-coding RNA, 109 nt
Organism: Ipomoea nil (Japanese morning glory)
Lineage: Eukaryota; Viridiplantae; Streptophyta; Magnoliopsida; Solanales; Convolvulaceae
Exons: 3
Source: RefSeq, a predicted model, not a curated record
CUUAAAUUAAUAAAAGUUAAAAACUUUGAACAUUGGAGUUAAUAAUAAAUGCACUCUCCCACAAAAAUAUAUAAUAAUACAAAUUUACAAAGUAAUUAUUUAAAACUUC